This 261-nucleotide ribosomal RNA is filed under the name uncultured bacterium. Its description in RNAcentral is "partial 16S ribosomal RNA". It matches the Rfam family "Bacterial small subunit ribosomal RNA", at positions 524 to 777 of the family's 1533-position model. The record is from RNAcentral.
UACGAAGGGUGCAAGCGUUACUCGGAAUUACGUGGGACGUAAGCGUGCGUAGGUGGUUUGUUAAGUCUGAUGAUGAAAGCCCGUGGGCCUCAACCCUGGGAAUUGCAUUGGAUACUGGCAGGCUAGAGUGCGGUAGAGGGUAGUGGAAUUCCCGGUGUAGCAGUGAAAUGCGUAGAGAUCGGGAGGAACAUCUGUGGCGAAGGCGACUACCUGGACCAGCACUGACACUGAGGCACGAAAGCGAUGGGGAGCCAAACAGGG